CUUUUAUUGACAAACACCAAGAGUGACCAACUUGCCCUCUACUCACCCUGAACUUUACCGGUUUUAGCCCCAGGAAUCCCAUGUCUUGUGAAUCUGCUCAGCUCCAGGAAAACAGAGAAUAUCCAUUUAUAUAAUGUCAUGAACAUAUAUCCAAUGACAUAAUUUGCCUGCAAAUGUACCCAGUGAGUGGCAGAGUCAUCCUGAAGCCUGCUUUCCAGGCCCCGCGUAUAUUCUAGAAAGCUUCACAUGUGAGAUAAAUGCACUCAAAGAUUCCUCACAAGUAGCUCUUUGGAGCUUCAGAUGUGAAAUGGAUCAUUCCUCAAUCUGUAAUAGACCCUUCUGUGAAGCUCUUCAAUCAAACCAGAGAAUUCAAGAGUUUCCAACACCUAAGAGUGGUAUUUGGCAAAUGGUGGGCCAAAGGAAUAAAGAAGGCAUGCAAAACUCUUGACAGAAGACAUUCAGAAAUUGAUUUGAUAUCAGAUACAAGGAGAAAAUAUGCCAGUAAGAAAAUGCAUUUUUCAAGAUUAAAUUCGGCAUUUGUUACUUAAUAGCAUUUGUCAUAUUCCAAUUUUUCAUAUGUAGUAAAUUCAUUUCAAAUCAUUUCGCUCUUCCAAGUGCCUUUGUGUAUUGUAUUUCUUUUUUCACAUCCUUUUGGAUAACAUUUGAGA
RNAcentral lists this long non-coding RNA (668 nucleotides) under Homo sapiens (human). RNAcentral's name for it is "HSALNT0040840". Lineage: Eukaryota; Metazoa; Chordata; Mammalia; Primates; Hominidae. The record is from RNAcentral.